UACGGAGGGUGCAAGCGUUACCCGGAAUCACUGGGCGUAAAGGGCGUGUAGGCGGCUCAGUCAGUCUGACUUUAAAGACCGAAGCUCAACUUCGGGCAUGGGUUGGAUACUGCUGAGCUAGACGGAUGGAGAGGUCACUGGAAUUCCUGGUGUAGCGGUGGAAUGCGUAGAUAUCAGGAGGAACACCUGUGGCGAAAGCGGCGCACUGGACCACAACUGACGCUGAGGCGCGAAAGCUAGGGGGAGCAAACAGG
This 254-nucleotide ribosomal RNA is filed under the name uncultured bacterium. RNAcentral's name for it is "partial 16S ribosomal RNA". It matches the Rfam family "Bacterial small subunit ribosomal RNA", at positions 524 to 776 of the family's 1533-position model. The record is from RNAcentral.